ACUGAUGGCGACCGGCGCACGGGUGAGUAACACGUAUCCAACCUGCCCUUUACUCGGGGAUAGCCUUUCGAAAGAAAGAUUAAUACCCGAUGGCAUAAUGAUUCCGCAUGGUUUCAUUAUUAAAGGAUUCCGGUAAAGGAUGGGGAUGCGUUCCAUUAGGUUGUUGGUGAGGUAACGGCCCACCAAGCCUUCGAUGGAUAGGGGUUCUGAGAGGAAGGUCCCCCACAUUGGAACUGAGACACGGUCCAA
RNAcentral lists this ribosomal RNA (249 nucleotides) under uncultured bacterium. Its description in RNAcentral is "partial 16S ribosomal RNA". It matches the Rfam family "Bacterial small subunit ribosomal RNA", at positions 84 to 334 of the family's 1533-position model. The record is from RNAcentral.